CAAAGUGUAGCUUAUUAUAAAGCACCUGGCCUACACCCAGAAGAUUCCAGUAUAUAAAUGGCCACUUUGA
Molecule: transfer RNA, 70 nt
Filed under: Nesonycteris fardoulisi
Lineage: Eukaryota; Metazoa; Chordata; Mammalia; Chiroptera; Pteropodidae
Description: tRNA-Val
Rfam family: tRNA
About the family: Transfer RNA (tRNA) molecules are approximately 80 nucleotides in length.
Source: RNAcentral